GAUAAACGUUUGCGGUGCGCCUUAUGCAUGCUAGUUGUACGGGGUUAUGGUUUUCGGACUGUAAUCUAGUGGCGAACGGCUGAGUAACACAUAAGUAACCUACCUUCAAGUGGGGAAUAACCUGCCGAAAGACAGGCUAAUACCGCAAUGAUACUCAAGGAUUGCUUGGUUAUUAAAGCCUUAGGGUGCUUGAAGAGGGACUUAUGUCUGAUUAGCUAGUUGGUAGGGUAACGGCUUACCAAGGCGAUGAUCAGUAGCUGGUCUGAGAGGAUGUCCAGCCAGAUGGGGACUGAGAUACGGCCCCAACUCCUAUGGGAGGCAGCAGCAAGGAAUUUUGGGCAAUGGGCGAAAGCCUGACCCAGCGACACCGUGUGAGGGAAGAAGGCCUUCGGGUUGUAAACCUCUUUUCUCGAGGAAGAAUUUUGACGGUACUCGAGGAAUAAGUCUCGGCUAACUACGUGCCAGCAGCCGCGGUAAUACGUAGGAGGCGAACGUUAUCCGGAUUUACUGGGCGUAAAGAGAGCGUAGGUGGUUCCCUAAGUCAGGUGUGAAAUCUUCUGGCUCAACCAGGAGAGGUCAUCUGAUACUGUGGAGCUUGAGGGCAGCAGAAGGAAAUGGAAUUCCCAGUGUAGCGGUGAAAUGCGUUGAUAUUGGGAAGAACACCAGUGGCGAAGGCGAUUUCCUAGGUUGUUCCUGACACUGAGGCUCGAAAGCGUGGGGAGCGAAGCGGAUUAGAUACCCGCAUAGUCCACGCCGUAAACGGUGGACACUAGAUAUGGGAAGUAUCGACCCUUUUCGUGUCGAAGCUAACGCUUUAAGUGUCCCGCCUGGGGAGACGGCCGCAAGGCU
Molecule: ribosomal RNA, 849 nt
Filed under: uncultured Chloroflexota bacterium
Lineage: Bacteria; Bacillati; Chloroflexota
Description: bacterial SSU rRNA
Rfam family: Bacterial small subunit ribosomal RNA
Source: RNAcentral